GUUUCCGUAGUGUAGCGGUUAUCACGUGAGUCUAACACACUCAAGGUCCCCGGUUCGAGCCCGGGCGGAAACA
Molecule: transfer RNA, 73 nt
Filed under: Lytechinus pictus (painted urchin)
Lineage: Eukaryota; Metazoa; Echinodermata; Echinoidea; Temnopleuroida; Toxopneustidae
Also listed under: 1 other name
Description: transfer RNA valine (anticodon UAC)
Source: RNAcentral